AGAGAGAGACAUGCGCGCAUAUCAAUAAGCGGAGGAAAAGAAACUAACUAAGGAUUCCCUCAGUAACGGCGAGUGAAGCGGGAAGAGCUCAAAUUUGAAAUCUUCAAGGUUUUACCUUGACGAAUUGUAGUUUAAAGAAGUGUUUUCUGUUGAAGUUUUGGUAAAAGUUCUUUGGAAUAGGACAUCAUAGAGGGUGAGAAUCCCGUAUUUGACCAUUAUUUUCAGCUGUGUGAUACACUUUCAAAGAGUCGGAUUGUUUGGGAAUGCAGUCCAAAAUGGGUGGUAAAUUUCAUCUAAAGCUAAAUAUUGGCGAGAGACCGAUAGCGAACAAGUACCGUGAGGGAAAGAUGAAAAGAACUUUGAAAAGAGAGUUAAACAGUACGUGAAAUUGUCAAAAGGGAAGCGUUUGACACCAGUGUUGUUUUCUCGAAAAUCAAUUAAAAAAGGCCGGAUUUUGUGUUGUAUUGAUCUUAAAAGCUUUCUUCACUCUUUUCUUGUCUUUUUUAAUGCACUUUUCGUUUAACAAGUCAACAUCAGUUUCUUUUGUUGUAAAAGGGUCAUUGGAAGGUGGCUUUCUUUUCGGAGAAAGUGUUUAUAGCCUUUGAUCUCUGCAACCGGAGAGACUGAGGUCUGCAGCGUAGACUCUUCGGGGUUAGAUACAUUUGUGCUAAGCUAUAGCUUUUUAUAGACAACUUGUUGACUAUAUUUAGUCUUGUGGCUUACUCGCUUAUGCUAUUUUACCUACGCUAGGAUGUUGACAGCAGUAUAGACUGU
RNAcentral lists this ribosomal RNA (774 nucleotides) under uncultured Neocallimastigales. RNAcentral's name for it is "partial large subunit ribosomal RNA". It matches the Rfam family "Eukaryotic large subunit ribosomal RNA", at positions 23 to 632 of the family's 3401-position model. Lineage: Eukaryota; Fungi; Neocallimastigomycota; Neocallimastigomycetes; Neocallimastigales. The record is from RNAcentral.